GACCUUCGGGGGUUUGGUCAGGAAAGAGGGGGCUACAUGGUGUAAAAACUCUGGAGUAAAGUCAGCUGAGCAUCUCCCACUUCCGUGAGGUGACCUCAACGACUCCCUGACAGCUCUUUCCGAGUCUCUCCAGCUGGGUGGCAUGGAAUGAGCCUUCCUCCCUCAUCCCAAGAUGACUCCUAUAAAGUGGAGAAGUGGACGGAGACGUCAAAUGGCUCCGUAUCAUAUAGACACGUCUACAGGUGCCUCAGCUGACUUGCCUUCACUGCCACGAUGGACUCAGCCCCCAACCAUGAGCCCAAAUCAGCCUCUUCGACCUGCAGCUGCUUCUGUCAGGCACUUGGCUACAGCAAGGAGAAGAGGAACCAAUGCACGGAC
This is a non-coding RNA of Peromyscus maniculatus bairdii (prairie deer mouse), 378 nucleotides long. The record is from RefSeq and is a predicted model, not a curated record. NCBI's taxonomy places the organism in Eukaryota, Metazoa, Chordata, Mammalia, Rodentia, Cricetidae.